RNAcentral lists this ribosomal RNA (464 nucleotides) under Vreelandella stevensii. RNAcentral's name for it is "partial 16S ribosomal RNA". It matches the Rfam family "Bacterial small subunit ribosomal RNA", at positions 338 to 795 of the family's 1533-position model. Lineage: Bacteria; Pseudomonadati; Pseudomonadota; Gammaproteobacteria; Oceanospirillales; Halomonadaceae. The record is from RNAcentral.
CCUACGGGUGGCAGCAGUGGGGAAUAUUGGACAAUGGGCGAAAGCCUGAUCCAGCCAUGCCGCGUGUGUGAAGAAGGCCUUCGGGUUGUAAAGCACUUUCAGUGGGGAAGAAAGCCUUGGGGCUAAUACCCUCGAGGAAGGACAUCACCCACAGAAGAAGCACCGGCUAACUCCGUGCCAGCAGCCGCGGUAAUACGGAGGGUGCGAGCGUUAAUCGGAAUUACUGGGCGUAAAGCGCGCGUAGGCGGUCUGAUAAGCCGGUUGUGAAAGCCCCGGGCUCAACCUGGGAACGGCAUCCGGAACUGACAGGCUAGGGUGCAGGAGAGGGAGGUAGAAUUCCCGGUGUAGCGGUGAAAUGCGUAGAGAUCGGGAGGAAUACCAGUGGCGAAGGCGGCCUUCUGGACUAACACUGACGCUGAGGUGCGAAAGCGUGGGUAGCAAACAGGAUUAGAUACCCCGUAGUC